AGAGCGAACGCUGGCGGCAGGCCUAAUACAUGCAAGUCGAACGGAUCCUUCGGGAUUAGUGGCGGACGGGUGAGUAACACGUGGGAACGUGCCCUUUGGUUCGGAACAACUCAGGGAAACUUGAGCUAAUACCGAAUGAGCCCCCAUCCUUAAACAAGAUGGGUGGGAAAGAUUUAUCGCCAUUGGAGCGGCCCGCGUCUGAUUAGCUAGUUGGUGGGGUAAAGGCCCACCAAGGCGACGAUCAGUAGCUGGUCUGAGAGGAUGAUCAGCCACACUGGGACUGAGACACGGCCCAGACUCCUACGGGAGGCAGCAGUGGGGAAUCUUGCACAAUGGGCGAAAGCCUGAUGCAGCAACGCCGCGUGAGGGACGAAGGCUUUCUGAGUUGUAAACCUCUUUCAGCAGGGACGAUUGUGACGGUACCUGCAGAAGAAGCCCCGGCAACUACGUGCCAGCAGCCGC
RNAcentral lists this ribosomal RNA (462 nucleotides) under uncultured bacterium. RNAcentral's name for it is "SSU rRNA". It matches the Rfam family "Bacterial small subunit ribosomal RNA", at positions 26 to 518 of the family's 1533-position model. The record is from RNAcentral.